GAGACUGCCAGUGAUAAACUGGAGGAAGGUGGGGAUGACGUCAAGUCAUCAUGGCCCUUACGACCAGGGCUACACACGUGCUACAAUGGCAUAUACAAAGAGAAGCGACCUCGCGAGAGCAAGCGGACCUCAUAAAGUAUGUCGUAGUCCGGAUUGGAGUCUGCAACUCGACUCCAUGAAGUCGGAAUCGCUAGUAAUCGUAGAUCAGAAUGCUACGGUGAAUACGUUCCCGGGCCUUGUACACACCGCCCGUCACACCAUGGGAGUGGGUUGCAAAAGAAGUAGGUAGCUUAACCUUCGGGAGGGCGCUUACCACUUUGUGAUUCAUGACUGGGGUGAAGUCGUAACAAGGUAACCGUAGGGGAACCUGCGGUUGGAUCACCUCCUUA
Molecule: ribosomal RNA, 389 nt
Filed under: Pseudomonas aeruginosa
Lineage: Bacteria; Pseudomonadati; Pseudomonadota; Gammaproteobacteria; Pseudomonadales; Pseudomonadaceae
Also listed under: 2 other names
Description: bacterial SSU rRNA
Rfam family: Bacterial small subunit ribosomal RNA
Source: RNAcentral